AACGCACAUUGCGCCCCUUGGUAUUCCGGGGGGCAUGCCUGUUCGAGCGUCAUUAUAACCCUCAAGCCUAGCUUGGUGUUGGAGCAUGCUAUCUAGCAGCUCUUAAAAUCAGUGGCAGUGCCCUUCGGCUCUAAGCGUAGUAAGUUCUCUCGCUAUGGAAACCGGAUGGUACGCGCCAAAACCCCCAACUUUCUAUGGUUGACCUCGGAUCAGGUAGGGAUACCCGCUGAACUUAA
RNAcentral lists this unclassified non-coding RNA (236 nucleotides) under uncultured Cistella. RNAcentral describes it as "sequence contains ITS2". Lineage: Eukaryota; Fungi; Ascomycota; Leotiomycetes; Helotiales; Hyaloscyphaceae. The record is from RNAcentral.